Molecule: transfer RNA, 76 nt
Filed under: Fervidicella metallireducens AeB
Lineage: Bacteria; Bacillati; Bacillota; Clostridia; Eubacteriales; Clostridiaceae
Also listed under: 1 other name
Description: tRNA-Thr
Rfam family: tRNA
About the family: Transfer RNA (tRNA) molecules are approximately 80 nucleotides in length.
Source: RNAcentral
GCUGGAAUAGCUCAGUUGGCAGAGCGACGCACUCGUAAUGCGUAGGUCGAGGGUUCAAGUCCCUUUUCCAGCUCCA